GAUACAGCAGGCUCUGGGGAAAUAAGUAUUGUAAAGUUGGCAGGUAGAAGGGGUUUUUGGCUGUUGUUUUUCAAACAUAUUACACAUAUUUUUACAUUAUUAAAAACACACGCUUCCGCACAACACCAUUUCCCCAGAAGCCUCUCUGGCUGACUAGUGUCAAGCCUGGUGAUUUAUAAGAUUGUUUGCAUAUAUUAUAUUUUAAAACACAUAUUGCUUUUGUAAAACGCGUAUUUAUUAUACAUUUUGGAAUUCAUAAUAUGCGCAGAAAAGCAGCCUCCGCCUGGCUGGAUCUGAGACAGUCUGUCACGUAAACACAUUUCUGGAAGGGACUUCAUACAAAUGCUUUAGACGGGGCCAACCAAUUCUUCCCUCCGCGGCUCCCAUGGUCUCUCCCUCCCUCUCUCUCUCUGUCUCUCUCUCUCACACACACAUGCCCCUCUCCCCCUCCUCCUGCACGUCACACCCAUACAAAUAAAUAAUAAAAACAGUAAUGGAACAACGGCCCCAGAGGAAAGCUCUGUUAGGAAUAAACCUGAUUUUCAAAGCUGCACAAAAAUCAUCAAGCAAAGUAACCUUGUGAAAAGCAACAAUUCAGAACCCUAUAGAUUGGGCGGCCCCAAAUUAGGGAAAUGGCUCUGUGAACCCCAGUCAAGUACGUUCUUCAAAUACCUCAAGCUGUGACCUUAAGUACAAGACUUGAUUUGAAAUCAAAUUGUGUGGUUGGUGUACGGGAAGAGUGUUCCAGACCCCGGUCUCCUUGCGUAAAAAGGAAAAAGGAAGGCCAGGUGCUGAGACCUCCUUGCUGAUGGGCACUUACAAAAUGGAAGGGACGAGAUUGCACAGACCUGCCCCUGCACUGAUAGCUGAAGACGCUUUUCUUCACCUACAGAAAAUGAGAACCAGCUUGGAAAAACAAAAAGGCCGUGCGUCUAGGCUCUGUGACUUGGUCCAGAUGUGCCAACUUAGCAACUCCCCACGCUGUCCGCAGCGGAGAUGGAUUUCUUUAACGUUCCUGUUAUCAAGCCCUCCUAUUUGUCGCCCCCAAACUCAGUUUCCCCCAGAUGUCUUGGACUGCUUCGUUUGAGGCUUCUGCAGCAGCUGCUGCCGCUCUACACAAAAGGCGGCUCCGAGAGCCAAGAUUAUGUCUUCAGUGCAUUACGGGCACAUGCAGUGCGUAUAUCUUCGGUAAAUAACCGCCCGUUUUCACAUGGAUUAUUUAGAAUUUCUGAUGAAACUGCAGAAAUGUCAAUGCGGGGUCUAAGCCACCAAUCGGAGAGCGGCUCCGCGACCCCUCUCUUCUUCAGCAAGACUGCUAUUAUCUUCAAGGGGAAAAAAAACCCUCUUUGUCUCUUGUUAUACCUUUUUUAUGAUCUAGGAUGCUGUUAAUAACGACUUUGUGUUACAUAAAACAGAUAAAUUAAUGUCACCAAGUCCCCAAAGUACUGAAUCAACCCUACUCCUUCAAAGGAAAGCAGAAAGUGUAUGAACUGAAGGCCAGGACUGAAGAGGGGCUCCUCUCCUAAAAUGGGAGAGGUCCUCCAAUCGCUGGCCUGUUCCUAUUUGAAAUGCAAUAUUUAAAAACCGUGUGGCUGGGGAGGAAAAUGCCGCUGUCUGGCUGAACAUCCCUCCAAAGGGGAAAUCGAGCGUGUGG
This 1654-nucleotide long non-coding RNA is filed under the name Homo sapiens (human). RNAcentral describes it as "HSALNT0233393". The record is from RNAcentral. Lineage: Eukaryota; Metazoa; Chordata; Mammalia; Primates; Hominidae.